UAUGGCCAUACCACCCUGAACGCGCCCGAUCUCGUCUGAUCUCGGAAGCUAAGCAGGGUCGGGCCUAGUUAGUACUUGGAUGGAAGAUGGUGGGGAUGGGGUAAGUAUGGUCAUGGCCAUGG
Molecule: ribosomal RNA, 122 nt
Filed under: Peromyscus maniculatus bairdii (prairie deer mouse)
Lineage: Eukaryota; Metazoa; Chordata; Mammalia; Rodentia; Cricetidae
Source: RNAcentral